GACGAACGCUGGCGGCGUGCCUAACACAUGCAAGUCGAGCGAAAAGACCAGGAGUUUGCGCGUCGGACGUGAGGGGAGGAGGGGAGAGAAACGUGUGGAAAACCUCCCUAUCAGACGGGGAUAAUCUCGGGAAACCGGCGCUUAUAGCGGAGAAGAUAUUGAACCGCAGGGGGCAAUAGUGAGAUUCGGUGGUGGGGGCAGUUAUAGAGGGAUCCGCGCCGGAUUAGCUAGUUGUGAAGGUAACGGCUUAUCAAGGCUACGAUGCGUAGCCGACCUGAGAGGGUGGUCGCCCACACUGGAGCUGAGACACGGUCCAGACUCCUACGGGAGGCAGCAGUAGCGAAUCUUCCGCAAUGGGCGAAAGCCUGACGGAGCAACGCCGCGUGAGUGAUGAAGGUCUUCGGAUCGUAAAACUCUGUUAUUAGUGAAGAACAAAUGUGUAAGUAACUAUGCACGUCUUGACGGUACCUGGUCAGAAAGCCCCGGCUAACUACGUG
Molecule: ribosomal RNA, 497 nt
Filed under: uncultured bacterium
Lineage: Bacteria
Description: partial 16S ribosomal RNA
Rfam family: Bacterial small subunit ribosomal RNA
Source: RNAcentral